AUCCGGGCUGCGGACAGUGUCUGGUGGGUAGUUUGACUGGGGCGGUCUCCUCCUAAAGAGUAACGGAGGAGCACGAAGGUCAGCUAAUCACGGUCGGACAUCGUGAGGUUAGUGCAAUGGCAUAAGCUGGCUUGACUGCGAGAGUGACGGCUCGAGCAGGUGCGAAAGCAGGUCAUAGUGAUCCGGUGGUUCUGAAUGGAAGGGCCAUCGCUCAACGGAUAAAAGGUACUCCGGGGAUAACAGGCUGAUACCGCCCAAGAGUUCAUAUCGACGGCGGUGUUUGGCACCUCGAUGUCGGCUCAUCACAUCCUGGGGCUGAAGUAGGUCCCAAGGGUACGGCUGUUCGCCGUUUAAAGUGGUACGCGAGCUGGGUUUAGAACGUCGUGAGACAGUUCGGUCCCUAUCUGCCGUGGGCGCUGGAGAAUUGAGGGGGGUUGCUCCUAGUACGAGAGGACCGGAGUGAACGCACCACUGGUGUUCGGGUUGUCAUGCCAAUGGCAUUGCCCGGUAGCUAAGUGCGGAAAAGAUAAGUGCUGAAAGCAUCUAAGCACGAAACUUGCCCCGAGAUGAGUUCUCCCUGACUCCUUGAGAGUCCUGAAGGGACGUUGAAGACUACGACGUUGAUAGGCCGGGUGUGUAAGCGCAGCGAUGCGUUGAGCUAACCGGUACUAAUGACCCGUGAGGCUUAACCUUACAACGCCAGAGGCGUUU
This 711-nucleotide ribosomal RNA is filed under the name Pantoea agglomerans. RNAcentral describes it as "partial 23S ribosomal RNA". It matches the Rfam family "Bacterial large subunit ribosomal RNA", at positions 2238 to 2925 of the family's 2925-position model. The record is from RNAcentral. Lineage: Bacteria; Pseudomonadati; Pseudomonadota; Gammaproteobacteria; Enterobacterales; Erwiniaceae.